UUUUACAAUGAAGAGUUUGAUCCUGGCUCAGGAUGAACGCUAGCUACAGGCUUAACACAUGCAAGUCGAGGGGCAGCGGGAUUGAAGCUUGCUUCAAUUGCCGGCGACCGGCGCACGGGUGAGUAACGCGUAUCCAACCUUCCGUACACUCAGGGAUAGCCUUUCGAAAGAAAGAUUAAUACCUGAUGGUAU
This 192-nucleotide ribosomal RNA is filed under the name Phocaeicola plebeius. RNAcentral describes it as "partial 16S ribosomal RNA". It matches the Rfam family "Bacterial small subunit ribosomal RNA", at positions 1 to 179 of the family's 1533-position model. Lineage: Bacteria; Pseudomonadati; Bacteroidota; Bacteroidia; Bacteroidales; Bacteroidaceae. The record is from RNAcentral.